UAGGGAAUCUUCGGCAAUGGGGGCAACCCUGACCGAGCAACGCCGCGUGAGUGAAGAAGGGUUUCGGCUCGUAAAGCUCUGUUGUUAAAGAAGAACACGUAUGAGAGUAACUGUUCAUACGUUGACGGUAUUUAACCAGAAAGUCACGGCUAACUACGUGCCAGCAGCCGCGGUAAUACGUAGGUGGCAAGCGUUAUCCGGAUUUAUUGGGCGUAAAGAGAGUGCAGGCGGUUUUCUAAGUCUGAUGUGAAAGCCUUCGGCUUAACCGGAGAAGUGCAUCGGAAACUGGAUAACUUGAGUGCAGAAGAGGGUAGUGGAACUCCAUGUGUAGCGGUGGAAUGCGUAGAUAUAUGGAAGAACACCAGUGGCGAAGGCGGCUACCUGGUCUGCAACUGACGCUGAGACUCGAAAGCAUGGGUAGCGAACAGGAUUAGAUACCCUGGUAGUCCAUGCCGUAAACGAUGAGUGCUAGGUGUUGGAGGGUUUCCGCCCUUCAGUGCCGGAGCUAACGCAUUAAGCACUCCGCCUGGGGAGUACGACCGCAAGGUUG
Molecule: ribosomal RNA, 550 nt
Filed under: uncultured bacterium
Lineage: Bacteria
Description: bacterial SSU rRNA
Rfam family: Bacterial small subunit ribosomal RNA
Source: RNAcentral